This 1277-nucleotide ribosomal RNA is filed under the name metagenome. RNAcentral describes it as "bacterial LSU rRNA". It matches the Rfam family "Bacterial large subunit ribosomal RNA", at positions 1672 to 2925 of the family's 2925-position model. The record is from RNAcentral.
CUUAAUCUGCCAAGGCGCUUGAGAGAACUCGGGUUAAGGAACUCUGCAAAUUGAUACCGUAACUUCGGAAGAAGGUAUGCCUUCGACGGUGUAGGGAUUUACUCCCGAAGCUGUUGAAGGUCGCAGGUAAUCGGUGGCUGCGACUGUUUAUCAAAAACACAGGACUCUGCGAACACGCAAGUGGAAGUAUAGGGUCUGACGCCUGCCCGGUGCCGGAAGGUUAAUUGAUGGGGUUAGCCGCAAGGCGAAGCUCUUGAUCGAAGCCCCGGUAAACGGCGGCCGUAACCAUAACGGUCCUAAGGUAGCGAAAUUCCUUGUCGGGUAAGUUCCGACCUGCACGAAUGGCGUAACGCUGGCCACACUGUCUCGACCCGAGACUCAGUGAAGUUGAAAUCGCUGUGAAGAUGCGGCGUUCCCGCGGCAAGACGGAAAGACCCCGUGAACCUUCACUACAGCUUUACAUUGAACUUUGAAUCUUCCUGUGUAGCAUAGGUGGGAGGCUUUGAAGCCUGGGCGCUAGUCCAGGUGGAGCCAACGUUGAAAUACCACCUUGGGAUAUUCGGAGUUCUAACCUUGGUCCGUAAUCCGGAUUGGGGACAAUGUAUGGUGGGUAGUUUGACUGGGGCGGUCUCCUCCCAAAGAGUAACGGAGGAGUGCAAUGGUACGCUCAGCGCGGUCGGUCAUCGCGCUCUAGAGUGCAAAGGCAUAAGCGUGCUUAACUGUGAGACAGACACGUCGAACAGGUACGAAAGUAGGUCUUAGUGAUCCGGUGGUUCUGUAUGGAAGGGCCAUCGCUCAACGGAUAAAAGGUACUCCGGGGAUAACAGGCUUAUUCCUCCCAAGAGUCCACAUCGACGGAGGAGUUUGGCACCUCGAUGUCGGCUCAUCACAUCCUGGGGCUGUAGCAGGUCCCAAGGGUAUGGCUGUUCGCCAUUUAAAGUGGUACGCGAGCUGGGUUCAGAACGUCGUGAGACAGUUCGGUCCCUAUCUGCCGUGGGCGUUGGAAACUUGAGGGUGAGCUGUCCUUAGUACGAGAGGACCGGGAUGGACGUAUCUCUGGUGUUCCGGUUGUCACGCCAGUGGCACUGCCGGGUAGCUAUAUACGGACGGGAUAAGCGCUGAAAGCAUCUAAGCGCGAAGCCCCCCCCAAGAUUAGGUUUCCCUGGGAACUCGAUUCCCCUAAAGGGCCGUCGGAGACUACGACGUUGAUAGGCUGGGUGUGUAAGUGCAGCAAUGCAUUGAGCUAACCAGUACUAAUUGCCCGUGAGGCUUGACCU